RNAcentral lists this ribosomal RNA (557 nucleotides) under Ithone fulva. Its description in RNAcentral is "partial 16S ribosomal RNA". It matches the Rfam family "Bacterial large subunit ribosomal RNA", at positions 1795 to 2619 of the family's 2925-position model. The record is from RNAcentral. Lineage: Eukaryota; Metazoa; Arthropoda; Insecta; Neuroptera; Ithonidae.
GGCGCCUGUUUAUCAAAAACAUGUCUUUUUGAUUUUAAUUUAAAGUCUAACCUGCCCACUGAAUUUAUUUAAAUGGCCGCGGUAUAUUGACUGUGCAAAGGUAGCAUAAUCAUUUGUCUUUUAAUUGAAGGCUGGAAUGAAUGGUUGAAUGAAAUAUUAACUGUCUCAUUUUAAUAAAUAUAAAAAUUUUUCUUUUUAGUCAAAAGACUAAAAUUAAUUUAAAAGACGAGAAGACCCUAUAGAUCUUUAUAAUAUUAUAAUAUUAAUGAAUAUAGAAUUUUAUUAAAUUAAUAUUAUAAUAUUAUUAUGUUGGGGUGACAGAAAAAUUAAAUUAACUUUUUUUUUAUAAAACCAUUAAUAUAUGAAUAAUUGAUCCAAUUUUAUUGAUUAAAAAUUUAAGUUACCUUAGGGAUAACAGCGUAAUUUUUUUAGAGAGUUCAUAUCGAUAAGAAAGAUUGCGACCUCGAUGUUGAAUUAAAGAUUAUUUCUAGAUGCAGAAGUUUAGAGGUUAGGUCUGUUCGACCUUUAAAUCUUUACAUGAUCUGAGUUCAAACCGG